AGAACGAACGCUGGCGGCAUGCCUAAUACAUGCAAGUCGAACGAACUCUUCGGAGUUAGUGGCGCACGGGUGCGUAACGCGUGGGAAUCUGCCCCUUGGUUCGGAAUAACAGUUGGAAACGACUGCUAAUACCGGAUGAUGACGAAAGUCCAAAGAUUUAUCGCCAAGGGAUGAGCCCGCGUAGGAUUAGCUAGUUGGUGAGGUAAAGGCUCACCAAGGCAACGAUCCUUAGCUGGUCUGAGAGGAUGAUCAGCCACACUGGGACUGAGACACGGCCCAGACUCCUACGGGAGGCAGCAGUAGGGAAUAUGGACAAUGGGCGAAAGCCUGAUCCAGCAAUGCCGCGUGAGUGAUGAAGGCCUUAGGUUGUAAAGCUCUUUUACCCGAGAUGAUAAUGACAGUAUCGGGAAGAAUAAGCCCCGGCUAACUCCGCGCCAGCAGCCGC
This 445-nucleotide ribosomal RNA is filed under the name uncultured soil bacterium. RNAcentral's name for it is "bacterial SSU rRNA". It matches the Rfam family "Bacterial small subunit ribosomal RNA", at positions 26 to 518 of the family's 1533-position model. The record is from RNAcentral.